This 29-nucleotide non-coding RNA is filed under the name Mus musculus (house mouse). The record is from RNAcentral. Lineage: Eukaryota; Metazoa; Chordata; Mammalia; Rodentia; Muridae.
UGGACCAGGAGAAGGUGCUAAGACUGCAC